This 506-nucleotide ribosomal RNA is filed under the name uncultured bacterium. Its description in RNAcentral is "partial 16S ribosomal RNA". It matches the Rfam family "Bacterial small subunit ribosomal RNA", at positions 28 to 523 of the family's 1533-position model. The record is from RNAcentral.
GAUGAACGCUAGCUACAGGCUUAACACAUGCAAGUCGAGGGGUAACGAGAGGAAAGCUUGCUUUCCUUGUCGACGACCGGCGCACGGGUGAGUAACGCGUAUCCAGCCUGCCCCCAACUAGGGAAUAACCUUGCGAAAGUAAGACUAAUACCCUAUAAUUUCCUCAGAUGCCAUCUGACGAGGAAUAAAGAUUUAUCGGUUGUGGAUGGGGAUGCGUCUGAUUAGCUUGUUGGCGGGGUAACGGCCCACCAAGGCAACGAUCAGUAGGGGUUCUGAGGGGAAGGUCCCCCACAUUGGAACUGAGACACGGUCCAAACUCCUACGGGAGGCAGCAGUGAGGAAUAUUGGUCAAUGGGCGGAAGCCUGAACCAGCCAAGUAGCGUGCAGGAUGACGGCCCUAUGGGUUGUAAACUGCUUUUAUACAGGAAUAAAGUUAGCCACGUGUGGUUAUUUGUAGGUACUGUAUGAAUAAGGACCGGCUAAUUCCGUGCCAGCAGCCGCGGUAA